This 350-nucleotide ribosomal RNA is filed under the name uncultured bacterium. RNAcentral's name for it is "bacterial SSU rRNA". It matches the Rfam family "Bacterial small subunit ribosomal RNA", at positions 914 to 1262 of the family's 1533-position model. The record is from RNAcentral.
CGGGGGCCCGCACAAGCGGUGGAGCAUGUGGUUUAAUUCGACGCAACGCGCAGAACCUUACCAGCCCUUGACAUGUCCAGGACCGGUCGCAGAGAUGUGACCCUCUCUUCGGAGCCUGGAGCACAGGUGCUGCAUGGCUGUCGUCAGCUCGUGUCGUGAGAUGUUGGGUUAAGUCCCGCAACGAGCGCAACCCCCGUCCUUAGUUGCUACCAUUUAGUUGAGCACUCUAAGGAGACUGCCGGUGAUAAGCCGCGAGGAAGGUGGGGAUGACGUCAAGUCCUCAUGGCCCUUACGGGCUGGGCUACACACGUGCUACAAUGGCGGUGACAAUGGGAUGCAAAAGGGCAACC